GCAUACGACGGGCUCUUUUGGAAUGGCAUGUGGACCUCGGGCAGAAUGUGUAACCAAGCGCAAAUGAAUCAUCGAAGUCGGGCCAAAAAGACCAGCCCAGACCGCAGGGCCACGAUCGGUAGUCCGAUGUUUUUAAUAAGGCGACAAACAACCAAGAAUUGGGUCAGCCGAGAUAAAUGCGAUGCACUUAAAUGGAGCUGAUUUCGGGAGUUCUUCUGGUUCGAAAUUUAAUACACUGAUGGAUACGCCAAUGGAGACCGGGAAGGGAGUUUCGAACAAUGGCUGGGCUUUCAUGCGAACUGUCAACUUGUCACGACAAUUAAGCAAGUCGAUGGCUAUCUGGCUAUCUGGCUAUCUAUCGGCGGAACAUCAGGAAACGCCCACGCAUGCCAGUCGUCUUAAGCGUUAAACAAAUUAAAUAUAUCGAAUAUGUGGAGGGGGGAGAAAUUAUUGAAAUACGACACCGAUCGCAGUGGAUGCAUCAGGCAGAGGCGAUGACCCAAUUCGCUCUGCACUUGCGCGACAAUUUUGGUGAACACAGAACCCACGGGAGACCCCAUGCCACCUUUAGAGACAGACCCCCAUAUCCCCAUUCUUUUUGUCAGCAGCUCCAAUAUUUGUUUACCAUUUAGUUUAUUAUGCUGUGUGCGCAUUGGUUCUGCCUUGUUUGAUUGCCCUUAUUGGACUUCGGUUCGUUCUCUUGGUCGGUGGUGAUUUUCAAUUCAAGUUAUGAUUAUUAUAUGUUGGGAAAGUCAAAUAACGGUCGCUAUAAGUCGGGCCAUAUGCAUUCAAAGUGCCACAAUUGCCGGCGAUAAGUUCAAUUUGAUGAGUUUUCAAUUGGGUUUUCCAUUGCUUUUCCCAAUGGGUUUUUUGAUCUUUCCCCGAGGUGUUGGAAAGAUUGUUAAUAUGCCAAAUGCUUCACAAAUAUCGUACAUUAGUUCACCUUUGUUGACAUCGAUGAGAAAGAAGUUUCAACAAUAACUUAAUUGAUGCGAUAUGUGCAUGGGAAUGGAGCU
Drosophila mauritiana is the source of this 1016-nucleotide RNA transcript. RefSeq lists it as uncharacterized. The record is from RefSeq and is a predicted model, not a curated record. The transcript is spliced from 2 exons. NCBI's taxonomy places the organism in Eukaryota, Metazoa, Arthropoda, Insecta, Diptera, Drosophilidae.